Long non-coding RNA from Anguilla rostrata (American eel), 1439 nucleotides. RefSeq lists it as uncharacterized. NCBI's taxonomy places the organism in Eukaryota, Metazoa, Chordata, Actinopteri, Anguilliformes, Anguillidae. The transcript is spliced from 2 exons. The record is from RefSeq and is a predicted model, not a curated record.
GUGACAGUGUGAUUGAGCUGUAUUUGGGGCUUGGAUAACCUUUUUUCUUUAUUACUUUUCUUGUCUCCCACAGAUUUGGAGAUGACAUCCCUGGAAUGGAGGGAUUAGGCACUGACAUCACUGUGAUCUGUCCAUGGGAGGCCUUUAAUCACCUGGAGCUGCAUGAGCUGGCUCAGUAUGGCAUCAUCUGAGUCCUCCAGCUUCCCACAAUCCCCCUCCACCACACAUUUUCUGGAUGCAGCUAUAAGAGUACAACAUGUACUUUACCAAACAAAACCAAGAACAGCAACCAUUAUAAAAACUAAAAGGAAAGAAAGUCUCCAAAAAACCUUACUGUCCUGCUCUUCAUAAUUUCUCUCUGUUUCCAAAGUUCACAUCCACCUUUGCUAUUAAUAACCCCUCCCCAUAGUCAUUCUGUAGAGACCAGCCUGCCAAUAACUGUUCUCUCAUCUCUGCUGCUCUGCUCUUCUCCUGUCCUCUUCCUUUCUUUCUUUCUUUCUUUCUCUCUCCCUCGUUCUUUCUCGGAAUGAAACGUGAUGCAAUGAGGCAGCCUCUCAGUGAGUUAAUCAGCUCGCAGACCCAUGACUUCUCAAAACCCUUCCCCUGUGGGAGGGGUCGGUUCCCUGCUUCACGAGCACCACCCCUCCAUCCCAAAAUCCGGGUCCUGUAGAGGCAGGGUCGGGGCCAGGACCCCCCCUCAGCCCCACACCUGUCCCCCUGCUCUCCCCCAUCCCAAGCGCGUCGCCACAGGAGUAGGAUUCCAGCAUAAACCCCUUUCUGUCCUACUCUAACCUCUAUACGAAUAUAUUAUCGACCAAAAGAUUAAUCACAAAUUCCGUCUUACUUGUUUAUUCAUUCUUUUUUUCUGAUUUAGUUCCCUCAGGAGUACAAGCUUGUUUUGUGCUGUAUCUGUGAGGUCACUGCUGUCCACUAGCACUCUGGCAUAUUUAUUUAUUUAUGCAUUGAGUGUUGAUUUGUUUUUUCUCUCUUUUUUCUGCCUUUCUGUUUGUAUAUUUAUAUUUAUUGAUUUAUUUGUGUUUUACUUGUAGAAUUAGUGCUGGGGUGUCUGGUGGUAAAAGUGAAAUAGUGGGUAUUCACUGAACACAAACCCACUGGUUCGUUCAGAGCAGGCCACACCCACUGCAGUACAAGGAACCAAUCCUGUCACUGUCACACACACCUGCUACAAUCCCCCCUGCCACCUGCACCAAUCACCACUCGAGACCUGAGCAAAGGGGUGUGGUAUUAAGGGAUAUGGAUUCUCCCAUAGUCAAGAACAUCAAUUUCCCAGAGUGCAGCUGUACUAGGCCACUCCCCUCUCCCAAAGUGAGGCUACACUAGGCCACUCCCCUUUUUUCAUCAAAGAAAGCACUCACUCACUCUGUUAUCAUUAUUUCUCUCUCUCUCUCUCUAUCACACACACACACACACACAGUCUC